AUAUUAACUGAACAAUGAAAAGAAGUUUAUGCAACAAACAGCAAUUAGAAAGUAAAUAAGUUGAGUCUGUAGGUAAAAUGUAAAGAAGUUUACAGCACUUACCGAAGGAGGAAGGAAGGAGGAAGAAAGACUUGGUAGUGGGGGGGCUGGCGGAGAAGGGGUUCUUUGGAAGGCAUGGCCUUCUUUCCGCACCGUUCAACCAUUUCUCAACAUUUAGGGGGUUCACGGUGAUCUUGCAUCCAAACUUCACUACAAAUAAAGUUAUAUCACAGAAAAUACGUUGAGGGCACAAUAAAAGUAAAUACGUGAGUAGUUCAAAAGGUGUAAAACCAGUGCGUGCGCACAGCCCACUGACGAGUCACGGGACAUGCUUCCUCCUCCUUCCUCCUCCUUCCUCCACUGCGCAGUGUGCUUCGGGUUCAUCCCCACGCGGCAGCCACUCCUCUUCCUUCCAUGUGAUGUUCUCCGACUAGAAACUGCUGUGCCGAGUAAUAAGCUGGUGACUGUGUCUUUGCCUGAAACCAUAAAGUCAAAAUAUUACUUCUUGCAGCAUAUGGCAUUGGGUGAAAACAUGGUCAUACUGAAAAAAAAAGAAGCCACUGUCUGAAAAGCGUGGAACCGUUCAAAGCCGUAACGGCAGUAGGUCAUUACCGAACGUCUGUGUGCGGGCUGCGGGUGUAGCUGAGGGGCCGGGGCAGGAAGAGGCAGCACCCAGGCCUCCUUACAGGGUCUCACUGGGUAACAGUGAGCGGAGUCCUUCCGGCCGCGGGGGAGCCCGGACUGCAGACAAGCCUCCGCACACCCCGCCUCCCGGGCAGGGCCCAGGGCCCAAACUCCCUCCUGUGUUCUCCUUCAGCCGGAUUUGAGGGACUCGGGUGUGUCUGGGCUGAAAGUGUUAGAGCUUCCACCAAGCUGCUGCGGAUGUCCCCAGUGGGCGUUCGCUUGUGACUCUUAAAGAAACAGGCCUGAGGCCCGCUCUGACGGCCAGAGUCAGCUUAAGGGCUUGUUUCGUUCCGGGAGGAAUCGAGUCGCGUUGGGCAGUGAACACCCCCUGGGAGAAAGAACAGGACGCUUCACCUGUGCCCGCUGCUGUGUCCCCGGUUCUUCUGAAAUCUCCCGCACGCCGCGUCUGUUCUUAUUCCCCUGGGCCCGCUGGAAGCCCAGCUAGGGGCAGCCAGGGCCAAAGGGCACGGGCUUCGGGGCUGGCCAGAAGGGCACUCGGCUCCCCCACUUCCUCCCCUGACCACAUUCAAGUCGUCCCUCCCCUCCCGCCACCUCCCGCAACCUUCCUCCGCCCUCGCGUCCUCCUCGGAUGGCAUCACGCACGUUCUCUCUUAGCUGACGUCACCAGGCGCGAGCGUUCAUCCGCAUCUCAUCGGGAAGACUUUCCAGGGCUGGACUUGAACCCUGGAGCGCUCCCGGCACGUGUCUGUCCCUCCAGCGGUUCGGGGACUCUAGGAGACUCUUUCUCUGGCUCUCGCGCUGGCUCCCUGCCGCUGGCGCUCUCCCGGCCGUCGUCACCGUCCCGUCGUCACCGUCCCGGGAGGAGGGCCGGCCCGCAGUCGGCCUGUGGACUGCGGCGUGAGCGCCCGCGAGCUACGAGUCCUCCAACGGGCCCCGUGCUGCCAAGGCUAGUGAAGCCUGAGCGUCCGCUGCUCAGGGACAGAGAGGAGUCAGCUCGACCCGGAGGCCAGAGAGACCCCGGCUCCUCCGGGCCGUGACCUGGGGCCCCCGCCCUGCCCUGCGGCCCGCGGACUGCCCAACCUGACCGUAGGUACCACGCUGGCCGCUCUGCUGCCCCAGGACUCUGAUGCUGGUCGCCGGGAUCUCCUCCGGCACAGGGAGGAACUCCCACCCCAGCUCCAUCGUCGGGCCGGUGACUGAGCCGGGGCGCUGCCCGCGCCCGUGGAGCCUCAGCGGCGGCUUGUUUUAGGAGAAGAGCAGCGGGACUGGGGCUGGGUCGGGAAGCGCCACGGCUUCUGCACAAUAAACUGCCAUUUUUUCGGAAUCCUCCUCACCCCUUCCUCUCAUCUGCAACCUGUCAGAUUUUUUUAUAUGCUAAUCUUUGAUUCCUCUAGAAUUUCUCUCGGUGUUUGGCGAGGGCCUUAGGGAGCCCAGACCCAGAACGCGAGCCUGGUUGAGAACGUGGAGAGACGCAGGUCGCUGGAACUCGCUGUCGUGGGAAACAGCGGCCACUCGCCGCCGAGGCAGAGGGCUCGCGGGCAGCAGCGGCGGCCGCAGGAGGCAGCCCGGAGGAGCCGGCGCCCGUUCUCCUCCCGCUCGGCUCUCCCCCAGCGCCCCCGCGGGCACCACCGGCGGGCAGCCGGCCGGCCGAGAGAGACGCGCUCGGCGUCCCAGCCCAGCGUCGCCGAGCGAGCGCAGGACGGCUCCGAAGCUGAGACAGUAGCCUAGGGAUCCGCACGUGGACCCUCACAUAUUAAAUGACUAUACAUUGGAGAGAGAAGAUCCAAGAUGGCGCCGUGAGUAGUCCUCUUUGUCUCUCCCCCUUCGAGUCUACAAUUAUUUGGACACUUAUCGCUUGACAAAGGAUAUCCAGACAGCAUCUCAGGAUGUCUGAGAGACCCACGCGACUAUACAUCGGAAGGCGGAUGGACUUUCCUCCGGGAGGAUGUGGAAAUAGGUGAAAACUCUCCGACCCCGACGAGCAGCCUAGUACCUGCAAGCGGCUUUCUUCCAACGGACGCCCCCAGAGGAUCUACACACAUCUAGGGCAGGAGCGAGCACACAACAGAGGAGCGACGGUGGAAACAGAAAGGGACUAUACCAGGUCCUCCUCACUACCCAGAUGGCAGCCAAUCUUCAGGGAUUUGAAGCUUGGGUGCACAUAUCAGCAC
This is a long non-coding RNA of Equus asinus (donkey), 2855 nucleotides long. The record is from Ensembl. Lineage: Eukaryota; Metazoa; Chordata; Mammalia; Perissodactyla; Equidae.